Molecule: long non-coding RNA, 830 nt
Organism: Rosa rugosa (rugosa rose)
Lineage: Eukaryota; Viridiplantae; Streptophyta; Magnoliopsida; Rosales; Rosaceae
Exons: 8
Source: RefSeq, a predicted model, not a curated record
UUCCACAUCUCCUCCUUCCUCUUCUUCGGUGUCUGGUUCUCCCUAGUCUUCUCUCAGAUCGCCUUCUUCUUCUGCUCGUCGCUGGUGACCUCAUUCAAUUGGUGGAUUGUCGCCGCCUUCCUCCGCGCCGAUUCCACCUUCCUGCUACGCUAUUCCUUUUGUCCUCCAUGUUCUCAACUGUGUUCCUCUGAUUAGCCGCUCGCUGAGAACUGCACAACCGAUGUUUUACCCGUAUCUGAGGACUCUUGGCAACAUCAGCUCCUCUGGUGCAACCGAUUUGCGGAGGAGGCGAGAGUAAAAAAGAAAGAGAGAGAAGAGAACAGGAAAUAAGAGAAAGAAGAAUAAGAAGAAGGAGACGAAAAGCUCUCUGGGUUUUCUUUGAUCUGUUGCUGACCAAAGGAAGAUUCGUCUUCAGCUGACCAAGCCUGUUACUUAGCCUCCAUUGGUAUGGGGAGUUUGCGGAGCUACUGCCUCUGUACAUUACAUCGGGACGGGACACAGUUCGAUUCGAGCGGUAAUUAGGGGACAUCGUUCAGUUCAGUCGGACAAGUUAAGAAGAAGGGAAAGAGAUGAAGAAGAAAGCUCUGGAAUGGAAGAGGUUCUGUUACAUGACUGCCUAUUGGUUGAUCCUAAAGAGCUUGCAGACCCAUCUUUUAACUCCCAGCAACAGAGGGAAAGGUUCUCACAUCUUUUGCAUCUGGCUGUGCUACCUCAUUAGUAGUUGAUAGGUGAAUCGAAGCAAUGGACAUAGUCAAGGCAAUUACCAGCUCCUUUGAGAAAGGAUGUUGGGGCACAAAGUCUCCAAAGAGUUUGAAGCAAGUUCAUUCUGG